This 72-nucleotide transfer RNA is filed under the name Pachycondyla annamita. Its description in RNAcentral is "tRNA-Asp". Lineage: Eukaryota; Metazoa; Arthropoda; Insecta; Hymenoptera; Formicidae. The record is from RNAcentral.
AAAGAAUUAGUUAAUAAAUACUUAUAACAUUAAAUUGUCAAUUUAAAAUAAUUACAAUAAAAAUAUUCUUUU